Molecule: ribosomal RNA, 253 nt
Filed under: uncultured bacterium
Lineage: Bacteria
Description: partial 16S ribosomal RNA
Rfam family: Bacterial small subunit ribosomal RNA
Source: RNAcentral
UACAGAGGGUGCAAGCGUUGUUCGGAAUUACUGGGCGUAAAGCGCGUGUAGGUGGCGGCGUAAGUCGAAUGUGAAAGCCCUUGGCUUAACCAAGGAAGUGCAUUCGAUACUGUGUCGCUUGAGUACCGGAGGGGAUGGCGGAAUUCCUGGUGUAGAGGUGAAAUUCGUAGAUAUCAGGAGGAACACCUGUGGCGAAGGCGGCCAUCUGGACGGUGACUGACGCUGAGACGCGAAAGCGUGGGUAGCAAACAGG